RNAcentral lists this ribosomal RNA (253 nucleotides) under uncultured bacterium. Its description in RNAcentral is "partial 16S ribosomal RNA". It matches the Rfam family "Bacterial small subunit ribosomal RNA", at positions 524 to 776 of the family's 1533-position model. The record is from RNAcentral.
UACGUAGGGUGCAAGCGUUGUCCGGAAUUAUUGGGCGUAAAGAGCUCGUAGGCGGUCUGUCGCGUCGGAUGUGAAAAUCCAGGGCUCAACCCUGGACCUGCAUUCGAUACGGGCAGACUAGAGUUCGGUAGGGGAGACUGGAAUUCCUGGUGUAGCGGUGAAAUGCGCAGAUAUCAGGAGGAACACCGGUGGCGAAGGCGGGUCUCUGGGCCGAAACUGACGCUCAUGCACGAAAGCGUGGGGAGCAAACAGG